GUAACUACUGCAGUUCUUUUGAUAAUAUAUAUAUUAAUAAAUUAAAAAUGUCUGUAGAUUGACAAGUGUUUUGUGGGCUUACACUGGAAAGCCGAUAGCUAAUUAUGAAAGCCUGACUUGACUAAUCAAUUAUUCAGAUGAACAUUAGGUACCUAUUAUAUGCGUAAACAGGGGAAUUAUAUUUCCCCUAAGUAACUUUCUAAAAUAACAAACCCAAAACAUGCAAAUUUUAAAUAGACAGAAAUGGCACUAUUAUGCACUUAUUGCACAUGCAGAACUCCAAUUGAAUUAUUCAGGGAACAGUGAGUCGGGAGCUUCGGUCUUCUGACUCAGAGCAGCACAGCAAUAGCAGCACAUGCCAUGUAGUAUUUGUUAUGCAUGUAAUAUUGAUUUAGCUCAUUCUUGCUGGUCAUGUUUCAAAUUCAUUUCAUGUUUAGGAGAUAGGGAAAAGGAGAAGUAUCCCUGGAUUGAUAUUUGCAAGAUAGUUUUAUGCCUGUUGAACAUAAGAUUAUUUGAUAAAUUAAUAAGACCAUGUCUUUUAAGUGUAGGAAGACUAAGCCUUUGAAAAGGAGCAUAAGUGAAGUAAUGAGCUCUGUUUUGAGAAGGUUUAUAUUUGCUACAUUCCCCAUCUCCUGUACAUAAAGAUUGGGAGAGCACUAGUAUGACAGAACAGAUUCACUGAUGUUUCUUUAAGGAACAAAACACAGCAAGGUAAUGCAUAAUUGUCCUUUGCAUUUAGAAAAGACUGUGCUCUUAAACAGCAUACAGCAACAGGGAAACCAGAAAUAGAUGUGACCAGACACCUGCUGACAAACAGUGACAAAUCCCACUGACACUGCAGUGACCCCCAGUUAGUCAAGAUUUAAUUAAGGGGUAUAAUUAAGUCAGUGGAACAGAACACUAAUGAGUGGUGUUUUUUUAUAUGGGUAAUUACACAUAAGAAUACAAAGUAAGCUAGACCCCUACAUAUAUCAUUAAAAUGAACAGUAUAGAAUGACAAUCGGGGCUUCAAGUAUUUUUUGUUCUUUCUCUUCAAUAAUGCAGGUUGAAACACCACGGCUUGUCAAGCAUCUGUACACAUGCUAACAAAUGCUAUUGGCCCAGUCCUGCCUGUGUCUAAGCAUGUUGGUAACAUGACCUUGGUGGCACAAUGCACAUCAGUACGGCUCCAUGUGAAGGGGUUUGCUGGGCUCUGUCUCUUGUUGUGUUAGCCUGCACUGGUGCCGUGCAGGGGUCGCUUGGGCUCAUUUUCUAACAAAUGACAUUCUCUUGCCAUUCUCUUUCAAGUAACACAUCCUCUAGAUUUCAUUUAUCAAGCGUGUUGAUUACAAGGAAGACAUAGGUUCCAAAUUGUUCCUAUGAUUAUCUGCACAUUGGGCACAAUAUACCUUUACAAUCAAAUGACAGAGAUUUCUUACAGCAGUGGUAUGUGAUGGCAGAUCCAGUUCUCUGGAAUUUAUUUUGGGAAUCUUUAGGUAGUUGAGUGAAAUAGCUGAAAUAUCUGUCUACGUGAUAUUUGCUUAUAUUUCAAACAGAAAAGUAUUGUAAAGUAGAUUUUCUAGACCAACAUUUUAAACUGGGGUGGAACACAUCAUCAUGAAUAAUGAUGACAAUGGUAGGGGAAAAACAACUUUCCUAUGGUCUCAAAGAUUUAAAAGAAUGCCUGUGUAGUUUGGGGCCAGCCCUCUGCUGGGAUUACUCUAUCUGCUCCCAGCUGGUAGCCUGCAGUUCAUGACAGCCUUUUAUCCGUUAUCAAAGCAACAAGUGGAAAAGCAGAUCCUCCUGCCUGCUAACACUCUGUUCAGUUCUCUCUGUAGAAUUUCUGCUCCUAAAUCUUUCCUUUUAACAAGUCCUCAGAUUUCCUUCCUACUGCUGCAGGAGAUGCUAAAUAUCUCUCAAGUUUUUAGCUCACUUGUCUAACUAAAACUCUGCAGAACACUAAAUGAAGAAACAGUAAUUGCAUUGCACCAGCACGUUUUCUACAGAAAGUGACUGAAAUGCAGAACGCACCCGAUCUUGCUUGCAGUGGAGUGCUGAGAGUUUAACAAUUGACUUAAGUGAUAGCAAAAGCAGAUCUUAAUUACUCAAACAACACUGUAAAAAUAUUUUACAACUUAAGUAAGUACAAAUUUUACUGUAGCAAAACCAAAGCAAACAAACUGCAUUGAAACUUACAACAUAUAUACUGCACUUACUUUGCUUUUUUAGCAGCACAGGAAAAAUAAAAAAGGUAGAACUAGGAGAUAUUUAAGCAUAAUUAAUGUGAAUUCUUUCAAGCAAAAUCUAUCUACUGAAACUGAAAAGUUAUUUGUUAUGAAAUCUAAAUGAAUAUAGUUUAUGUAGUGAAAAUAUACACCCUACUUUCCUUAAAUCAUGCUGUCAUGGAGUAAUAGGUCUUAGAGACAUAAUCCUAUAACAGUAACUACAAUCAGGUAAAAAUCAAGAUAACAGCAAUCUGUUAUGCAGGCUAUGCUAAACCAUAAUAUAUGUUAAGGGGUUUGGUAUUCUUUGUUAAACUCUUUGGUUUUUAAACAGAUUUCCCUGCAAUUUACAGCAGUUAUGCAAUGACAGAAGACGCCAUGGGAAUCCAGGACUUGCUCCCUCUGUGAACCGAGGCCUUUGCCACACCAGGCUCCUCCAUACAUGCCUAAGUGCCUCUUCCAGCCGGGCACAACAGACGGAACAGGUCCAGGUCCUGCUAGGGCUUUGCCCUGCCCGCAGUGUGGUCCUGUUGCAUUCAGCAGAACCAGCUCUGGGUCCUCUGGGCUUUUGCUAGGACAUGGGCAGCAAUGUCUCAUUUUCCCAUGGUGCCUGAGGUAAGUGUUCUGGAGGAGGGCCUCAGUAAAUGUAAUUUUAAGAUAUGGAGUUACUAUCUUAGUUUUUUUGCCCAAGAGCUGGAGCACAUGCCAAAACCCUAACAGAACUGUAAUAUAAUAAAAGAAGAGAGGUCAUAAAAAUUAUGUAAAUCAUUUCCCCGUUUUUAUCUUUCUGCGGGUGUGUGCCGGUAUAAAAUAUGGGGUCAGAAGGAGUGACUUCCUCCUGGGCUGCAGACACACGUCUGCAUAAUGGGUCCCUCACAUCUUCUUGUGCCCAAUUUUCGUCCCUGUGAAGCUGCCCCUUCCCAGCCGUGUAUGAAUGAACAGAAGUGCCUUUCAUCCCCCACUUGCCUGGCGCUUCAAAAGGAACUACGAAAAUAGCAGCAACAAAAAUCCAGCCGCCUGCCAAAAGGCCCGCACACGUCCCAUUCUCACAGGCAUGCGAAAGGUUGGAGAGCUCAGCAAAAUUUUUAUGUACGGGAGCAGGCCCAAGGAAAACUCACACGCCAUAACCAAUUGUGGACAGAGGAUCAUCUAUCAGCAGACAAAUGCAGGAACUCCAGAAUGUCUCUCCUCAAAUGAAAUAAUAUAUCUUUGAAAGCCAAUGCCCGUUUUAGGCCUGAGGCCCAUAUAUCAAGCCUGAGAGGCUUGUGGAUACGCUCCAGGGCCAUUAACCUUCCACCUGUUUCCCCUUGUCCUUCAGGAUGAGACCCUGCCCUUGAUUUUACUCCCUUCCCCUGUUCAUCUUCCGACAGAGUGUAAAUGUAAAGCAGAGGGCCUGCGAAAUAAUUCAAAGGCAAUGGACCAGGGACAUGGUUACAAAUCUCUGCCACUGGCACUGUGACUUAUGCAGGCAGUUUGUCACACAUGAGCCAGGUGACCUCUGUGACAUAACAGAGAAAAAUAUCGCCCGAGAUCAAAAGAUGAGAUUCAGAGCACUCUAACUAACUCUGGUGUACACAGCCACACUAUAAGGUGGCCAAGGGUUUCCUCUCCUCUGAAUGCUGCUCACUCCGCUCGCUGGCGAGUGGGACACAGUCCUGCUAAUUUCAGUAAUCUCUUUUUCUCUCAUCUCUUUGGAAAUCUUUCCUGCAACCUGCACAUCAAAAUCUGCCUCCUUCUGAAGCCUCUCUUUUUCAAAAAAGGUAAUUAAAUUGAGGAAGAGAGAAAGCAAAGUAGAUAAAAAUUAACACAUAAAAAGCAGCAUGAUUGAAAAUGGCAGAUUAAUCGAUUUUGCAAAUGAGUCUGUUUUAAUCCACUAAUUUUUGAAAUUAUAAGUAGUACUAAAACUUUGUAUGAGCACAUGCUGUCUCUGGUAUUGCAAUGACAAGUCUUCAAAGUCUAAAACAUUUAUUGGAAUUCAACUAUCACAAUGGCAAAAAUGGGAGUAGAGUUAGUAUUAAAAAUGAUGUAAUGCACCCAGAAAACACACUUCUGUACUGAUUCAUAUUUUACAAAGAGAUAUACUGCAGAACUAGAAUAACAGUCACUUGAAAUAAGCCUAAUCAGACUGAUUUAAAAAAAAAAAGUCUUGAGUUCAUUUUUCAAGCUGUGUGCUACAUAGGAAGUUUCCCAGCUGUUUUGUACAUUCAAGACUCUUCUCGGUGCAGACAAAAGAAUAAGGCCUAACCCAGCGUUUCUCUUUCACUCCCCAUAACCAAACAGUAUGUCUGGUAUGGGCAUUUAAUUUUGUCUAUUUCAUAAAUUAAAGAAAACCCACAACUGUCACAGUAUUCCUGGCACGAUGAUGAAAUGAGAAAUACAACCGUAGCUAGAUCAGCCUAAAUCCCAUUCUAAUCCUAAAUCACUUUGGCACUUGCCCACACUUAGUUGAUGAAAAACUCAGUUUGACCCAAGAAUGUAUAUGAAAAUACACAUAUACAGACACACAAAAAUUCAGCACAUUGCUUACAUGUGUGCUAAAUGUUACCUCAUCAGCUAUUUCAUUCUGUCUCGUCACAUGCUGACUUGUAAACACAGUAAAUGCAAAAUUAGUAUUACAAAAACAUUAGUGUGAAGUGUUACCACAUGCAUUUGUAAAAAUAAGACAACUGUUUGAUUUUACAGUGCUAGAAUCAUUUGUUCUUGUUCAGGCCUUGUGACUAAACACACCUUUUCCUCUUUUUAAUAUCUCUAAGGAAAGCCUGCUAGAGAUACAACAGUCAGCGGCUGCAUGUGAGUUUUGUCCGUGGUUUCAGUGAACUCCAAUUCAAAUCCCCAGUGUCUUCAUUUUCGAAAAUACCUAGUGUUACUUUUUCAUGUAAAUAUAGGUGCUAUAUCCAAGGUUUCUGGUAUUCAGAUCUUUAGCUCUCUCUUUGACACUUCUACUGAAUAUAUUAAUUUGUGUUUAGGCUGGAUAUCAUUUGGCUUUAUACAUCCUCUUUUUUCCCAUAUAUUUGAUGUAUCCCUGAAAAAAUUAAUAUUUAAUUUACAAAGCACCUAACCCAAUCCAUUGCCUUUUACAGUAAGUAUGAUCUAGUGCUUCUGCUUUUGUAAUAUUCAUGAAAUUUGGAAAUCAAGGCUAGGCAUCAAAUGUUACUAUCAUAUGCUAAUAGAGGACUUUUCAUUUGAGUGUUUGAUCAGUUUUGAAUGCCCAAAUGGCAUAUUAAAAUUUCCAAGGCAUAAACUACUUUAGGAUGCUAUUAUAUGUAUAAAAAUACUAUUAUAUGAAUAUAAUAAUUUUUAAUUUUCAUAGAUACACACUCAGAUAUGCACAAAAUUAUUUGUCUCAUUUACCUCUUGUCAUGUGUUUUUUGUGUAAAUAGCUACUGAGCAAAUAUUUUACAAAAUUAAAAGUUAAGGUACCCUGAUUCUAAAGAAGAGAAUUUGACUCUUGGUUUUAAAAUGUCUUGUCUUGAUGAAAAAAGCCUUAAAUUAAUUGGUUCACAGAGUAUACAGAUGCUACAACCCCAGUUAAUUGUAUUUUGAGCGCUUGUGCCUCCUCGAUUCAGACAUUUUAAACAAAACAAAACAAAGAGCAUUUAACAUUAACAGUAAUUUAACAAAUAAUAAUUUGGAGCAUGAAUCAUUCCCUACAUUCCUUUUCAGCUACAGACAAUUUUUGUUGGGAAAAGUGCCAUAUAGUAUCGACAGUGACAACAAAUUGUAUUGUCCGGUGAACAUCUGUUUCCGACUCCCACACUGAUACUGCAGGUUGGAUACUUCUGAUUUAGUCUUCACAGGCUGCCCGACCACAGAGGAACUGGAAAUUACUGAGAAAGAGGGAGAAUGAGAAACUCCACUGAAACUCCUGUUAACACUAAUUAGAGUUGUCAGCAUGCAGCGGAAUCAAAGGCAAAACAUGUGGAGCUCCCAGUGAAGUCAAGAGGAGAAGGGUAUUACUUAAAGGAGAGGCAUGCAAAUUAAAAAUAAAUGCUGUUCAAUGUUACCAAA
Pseudopipra pipra is the source of this 6209-nucleotide long non-coding RNA. RefSeq lists it as uncharacterized. Lineage: Eukaryota; Metazoa; Chordata; Aves; Passeriformes; Pipridae. The transcript is spliced from 2 exons. The record is from RefSeq and is a predicted model, not a curated record.